Molecule: ribosomal RNA, 453 nt
Filed under: uncultured bacterium
Lineage: Bacteria
Description: bacterial SSU rRNA
Rfam family: Bacterial small subunit ribosomal RNA
Source: RNAcentral
UACGGAAGGCAGCAGGGGGAAUAUUGCACAAUGGGCGCAAGCCUGAUGCAGCCAUGCCGCGUGUAUGAAAAAGGCCUUCGGGUUGUAAAGUACUUUCAGUCGUGAGGAAGGUGUUAAGGUUAAUAACCUUAGCAAUUGACGUUAGCGACAGAAGAAGCACCGGCUAACUCCGUGCCAGCAGCCGCGGUAAUACGGAGGGUGCGAGCGUUAAUCGGAAUUACUGGGCGUAAAGGGCACGCAGGCGGUUAAUUAAGUUGGAUGUGAAAUCCCCGGGCUUAACCUGGGAAUGGCAUUCAAGACUGGUUAGCUAGAGUCUUGUAGAGGGGGGUAGAAUUCCAUGUGUAGCGGUGAAAUGCGUAGAGAUGUGGAGGAAUACCGGUGGCGAAGGCGGCCCCUGGACAAAGACUGACGCUCAUGUGCGAAAGCGUGGGGAGCAAACAGGGAUUAGAUACC